CCCCGCGCUUCUGCACCACCGCAUACGUGUCGGCCAUGGCGAGGGCCGGGGGCCCAGGCACCGAGAUGCUUCUGCGAGUGGGGAAGACGGGGGAGGAAGUGAAAUGACUGAGCGGAGGGAGGGGGUGGGGAGUGCGCCUAGCUUGCAAACCGCGGGCUUCCUUCCCACCCAAGGCGCUAGCAGGUCAGGUCGAAGAGAGCAGGUGGGCAGGUCUCAGAGGAGAGAGGAUGGGGUCUCUGGAUGAGGGGAGUUCGGUUCUGUCUCUCGAGCGCCUGGCAAGUUAGCUGCAGGCCGCUGCUUUCUCAUCUCCAGGACUACGUUGAAGAGGCUGAAGUUAGGUGGGAUCAUCUGAGACAGAGAAGACAUGAGCAGACAUUUCUCCAAAGAAGAUAUCCAAAUGG
This is a long non-coding RNA of Mustela erminea (ermine), 401 nucleotides long. RefSeq lists it as uncharacterized. Lineage: Eukaryota; Metazoa; Chordata; Mammalia; Carnivora; Mustelidae. The transcript is spliced from 3 exons. The record is from RefSeq and is a predicted model, not a curated record.